AUUGAACGCUGGCGGCAUGCCUUACACAUGCAAGUCGAACGGCAGCACGGGAGCAAUCCUGGUGGCGAGUGGCGAACGGGUGAGUAAAGUAUCGGAACGUGCCCAGUCGUGGGGGAUAACGUAGCGAAAGUUACGCUAAUACCGCAUACGAUCUAUGGAUGAAAGCGGGGGAUCGCAAGACCUCGCGCGAUUGGAGAGGCCGAUAGCAGAUUAGGUAGUUGGUGGGGUAAAGGCUCACCAAGCCGACGAUCUGUAGCUGGUCUGAGAGGACGACCCGCCACACUGGGACUGAGACACGGCCCAGACUCCUACGGGAGGCAGCAGUGGGGAAUUUUGGACAAUGGGCGAAAGCCUGAUCCAGCCAUGCCGCGUGCAGGAUGAAGGCCUUCGGGUUGUAAACUGCUUUUGUACGGAACGAAAAGGUUUGGCCUAAUAAGCUGAGCUCAUGACGGUACCGUAAGAAUAAGCACCGGCUAACUACGUGCCAGCAGCCGCGGUAA
RNAcentral lists this ribosomal RNA (500 nucleotides) under uncultured bacterium. RNAcentral describes it as "partial 16S ribosomal RNA". It matches the Rfam family "Bacterial small subunit ribosomal RNA", at positions 30 to 523 of the family's 1533-position model. The record is from RNAcentral.